GCCACACUGGGACUGAGACACGGCCCAGACUCCUACGGGAGGCAGCAGUGGGGAAUAUUGCACAAUGGGCGGAAGCCUGAUGCAGCAACGCCGCGUGAGGGAUGACGGCCUUCGGGUUGUAAACCUCUUUUAGCAGGGAAGAAGCGAGAGUGACGGUACCUGCAGAAAAAGCGCCGGCUAACUACGUGCCAGCAGCCGCGGUAAUACGUAGGGCGCAAGCGUUAUCCGGAAUUAUUGGGCGUAAAGAGCUCGUAGGCGGUCUGUCGCGUCUGCUGUGAAAACUGGAGGCUCAACCUCCAGCCUGCAGUGGGUACGGGCAGACUAGAGUGCGGUAGGGGAGAUUGGAAUUCCUGGUGUAGCGGUGGAAUGCGCAGAUAUCAGGAGGAACACCGAUGGCGAAGGCAGAUCUCUGGGCCGUAACUGACGCUGAGGAGCGAAAGGGUGGGGAGCAAACAGGCUUAGAUACCCUGGUAGUCC
RNAcentral lists this ribosomal RNA (477 nucleotides) under Microbacterium sp. 16(2011). RNAcentral describes it as "bacterial SSU rRNA". It matches the Rfam family "Bacterial small subunit ribosomal RNA", at positions 307 to 796 of the family's 1533-position model. The record is from RNAcentral. Lineage: Bacteria; Bacillati; Actinomycetota; Actinomycetes; Micrococcales; Microbacteriaceae.